This 513-nucleotide long non-coding RNA is filed under the name Nicotiana benthamiana. RNAcentral's name for it is "long non-coding RNA (NBEN_LNC017360)". The record is from RNAcentral. Lineage: Eukaryota; Viridiplantae; Streptophyta; Magnoliopsida; Solanales; Solanaceae.
GUCAGUACUCCUGUACUCUCUUUCUUCUCUUCACCGGCAACCCCUCCCCGUUUAUCUCCCUCCAAUUAAUCCACCCCUUUUUUUAUCCAGUUCUUUUCAUUCUUUUUCAAAUUUUUCUCAUCUCGAUUUUUAUUCUUUCUCAAAUAUAAUAAGUGGUUUGAGUAAAGAAAGUUUACGAGUUUUGAACUUAAGCAAGGAGAGAGAUAGAGCACCUUGAAGUUUUCGGCCAGAUUUAUGAAGGCAUGUUGUUUUACUUAUGAUUUGAGACUUUUUGGAAAAGAGAUAUGGUUAUUGGUUGGUCGCCAGUGAACUGGAGGUAGCAGUCAUGGGGUUUUCUGGCGGUCAAAACUUCUAUCCCUAAUUGAAAACAAAAUUAAGAAGAGAAAUAGGAAAAGGGAUGAAGGAAGCUGAUUAACUUCUUGGAUUUGGAAUUUGCCGGAGGCUUUUCCGGCAGUAUAUUUAUUUACUGGUUUGGCGGGUUGGGAGUGGGGAUGGGGAGGUGUUUCAGUGGAG